UUCCGCGAGGAAGGGUCUGAAGGAAGCCGCUAGCCCCCUCGAUUUAACAAAAUGCGAGCUGACGAACAAAUACAUCUAUGAGGUGUCGGGUCAAGGAGAGUUGCCGCAAGACGACGAAGCCAAGUGAUUUAAGACCCUGUACAUGAUGCAGUUGUGCAGUGAAAGUUCA
RNAcentral lists this non-coding RNA (169 nucleotides) under uncultured Enterovibrio sp. The record is from RNAcentral. Lineage: Bacteria; Pseudomonadati; Pseudomonadota; Gammaproteobacteria; Vibrionales; Vibrionaceae.